This 1361-nucleotide ribosomal RNA is filed under the name uncultured bacterium. RNAcentral's name for it is "bacterial SSU rRNA". It matches the Rfam family "Bacterial small subunit ribosomal RNA", at positions 28 to 1381 of the family's 1533-position model. The record is from RNAcentral.
GAUGAACGCUGGCGGCGUGCUUAACACAUGCAAGUUGAGCGAGAAGUUUUUAUCAGAAGUCUUCGGACGGACGAUAGGAAUGGAAAGCGGCGGACGGGUGAGUAACGCGCGGGUAACCUACCUCUUACACAGGGAUAGCCAUUGGAAACGAUGAUUAAUACCUGAUAAUGUAUCCAUAUCGCAUGAUAAGAUAUCAAAGAGUUAUUGGUAAGAGAUGGACCCGCGUCUGAUUAGCUAGUUGGUGAGAUAACAGCUCACCAAGGCGACGAUCAGUAGCCGGCCUGAGAGGGUGGACGGCCACACUGGAACUGAGACACGGUCCAGACUCCUACGGGAGGCAGCAGUGGGGAAUAUUGCACAAUGGGGGGAACCCUGAUGCAGCAACGCCGCGUGAACGAAGAAGGUUUUCGAAUCGUAAAGUUCUUUUUUUAGGGAAGAAACAUGACGGUACCUAAAGAAUAAGCACCGGCUAAAUACGUGCCAGCAGCCGCGGUAAUACGUAUGGUGCAAGCGUUAUCCGGAAUCACUGGGCGUAAAGGGUGCGUAGGCGGCUAAAAAAGUCAGAAGUGAAAGGAUACAGCUCAACUGUGUUAAGCUUUUGAAACUGUUAGGCUAGAGUGCAGUAGAGGAAAGUGGAAUUCCUAGUGUAGAGGUGAAAUUCGUAGAUAUUAGGAGGAACACCAGUGGCGAAGGCGACUUUCUAUGCUGAAACUGACGCUGAGGCACGAAAGCGUGGGUAGCGAACAGGAUUAGAUACCCUGGUAGUCCACGCUGUAAACGAUGAAUACUAGGUGUUGGGAGUGAAAUUUCAGUGCCGCCGCAAACGCAAUAAGUAUUCCGCCUGGGGAGUACGGUCGCAAGACUGAAACUCAAAGGAAUUGACGGGGACCCGCACAAGCAGCGGAGCAUGUGGUUUAAUUCGAAGCAACGCGAAGAACCUUACCAAAUCUUGACAUCCUUAUGAAUAAGCAUGUAAAGUGCUUAGCCUUUCGGGGCAUAAGAGACAGGUGGUGCAUGGUUGUCGUCAGCUCGUGUCGUGAGAUGUUGGGUUAAGUCCCGCAACGAGCGCAACCCUUGUCUUUAGUUGUCAUCAAGUAAAGUUGGACCCUCUAAAGAGACUGCCAGUGAUAAACUGGAGGAAGGUGGGGAUGACGUCAAAAUCAUCAUGCCCCUUAUGAUUUGGGCUACACACGUGCUACAAUGGUCGGUACAACGGGGAGUGAAAGAGUAAUUCUGGAAACGAAAUCCUAAAAAAGCCGAAUCUCAGUUCGGAUUGUGGGCUGCAAACUCGCCCACAUGAAAGUUGGAGUUGCUAGUAAUCGUGAAUCAGAAAUGUCGCGGUGAAAUGCGUUCCCGGGUCU